CUCUUUAGAGUGUUACAACCAUCAGCACGUUAGAUUUUCAUUCUAAAAGAAUACAAUUUAAGUAUUGAAGAGC
RNAcentral lists this transfer RNA (73 nucleotides) under Ceraesignum maximum. Its description in RNAcentral is "tRNA-Glu". The record is from RNAcentral. Lineage: Eukaryota; Metazoa; Mollusca; Gastropoda; Littorinimorpha; Vermetidae.